This 273-nucleotide ribosomal RNA is filed under the name uncultured bacterium. RNAcentral describes it as "partial 16S ribosomal RNA". It matches the Rfam family "Bacterial small subunit ribosomal RNA", at positions 524 to 796 of the family's 1533-position model. The record is from RNAcentral.
UACGUAGGUGGCGAGCGUUGUCCGGAUUUAUUGGGUUUAAAGGGUGCGUAGGCGGCCCUAUAAGUCAGUGCUGAAAUACCCCGGCUUAACCGGGGGGGUGGCAUUGAUACUGUAGGGCUUGAGUGAAGUCGAGGUAGGCGGAAUUGACGGUGUAGCGGUGAAAUGCUUAGAUAUCGUCAAGAACACCGAUAGUGCAGACAGCUUACUAGGCUUUAACUGACGCUGAGGCACGAAAGUGUGGGGAUCAAACAGGAUUAGAAACCCCCGUAGUCC